CUGAGUUAGGGUUCUUUCAGAGCCCGAUCUCCAACCCUUUGUUAAAUUACUUUGUUGCUUUGGCAGGCCCGUCUUUCGGGACCGCCGGGGGAGUUAGGUCACCUCUGGUCAGUGUUUGCCAGUAGCCAAUUUAAAUUAUUUUUAACCAUGUCGUCUGAAUCUUAAUUAAAAUUUAAUUA
RNAcentral lists this unclassified non-coding RNA (179 nucleotides) under uncultured Phaeomoniella. Its description in RNAcentral is "sequence contains ITS1". Lineage: Eukaryota; Fungi; Ascomycota; Eurotiomycetes; Phaeomoniellales. The record is from RNAcentral.